AGUCAUAGAAAUAAAUCUUUAUUUAUAUUAGGAUAUUUAUGAAAUGCAGACUAUUUCGAAUAUUUAUGAAUUAUCAGGCAGGAUUCAAAUUUAGGAUAUUGUUAUUGCUUUAAUGCGAGAAAUUUUAUCAUUGAAUUGUGAAGAAUUUGCUAUACUUCACGUGAUAAAAAAGUCAAGAUUAAGUCCCACGAGGUUUCCCAUAUCUUAGUCCCGACAACUUGAUGUUUUCAACUUCGGAUUAAAAAUAAAACAGAAAUAAAAACGAUCGAUACGAAGUGGUUGAUAGAAUAGUUAGAAUUUCCAAAGUUCACGAUUUUAUAUAAAAUAAUUCGAGAUCGUGGCAUUUGACUAAAACAUGAAACACUAAUGGCUGAUUUCAUCGCGAUUUUUUUAAUCAUGCUAUUGAUAAAUACCACUGUAUCUCUAUCUCUUGACGAAAGAACGAUGAUGCAAACGAAUUUCUUGUACACGUAUUCGCAUACAUUGUAUAAGGACAAAUUGCAUGAUACGUCAAACGCGUAUGAAUAACAUGUUUUAAUGCACAAAAGAAAAACAUCGAGAAUGGUAAUAGCCGCAAAUGCCAAAUGGAAAAUUAUAAAUUAAAAUAAU
This is a long non-coding RNA of Apis dorsata (giant honeybee), 609 nucleotides long. RefSeq lists it as uncharacterized. Lineage: Eukaryota; Metazoa; Arthropoda; Insecta; Hymenoptera; Apidae. The record is from RefSeq and is a predicted model, not a curated record. The transcript has 3 exons.